This is a long non-coding RNA of Helianthus annuus (common sunflower), 681 nucleotides long. RefSeq lists it as uncharacterized. NCBI's taxonomy places the organism in Eukaryota, Viridiplantae, Streptophyta, Magnoliopsida, Asterales, Asteraceae. The transcript has 2 exons. The record is from RefSeq and is a predicted model, not a curated record.
GGUUGACUAAUCUAAUCAUCUUGUGGAUAUGAUAUGGUAGUUUGACUCUGACAAGCUAGGUAGGAGCUUGGAAAUGAACGGGUCAAAUGGAUACAAGUUCAAGUAUGAAGCUCGCAAGGAUGCAAGGUAAGUAUAACUUACACUAGUCAUAUAUUUUAGAAUGUUCUUUUGUCGUAUUGACUACGAAUAAGACAAAUGGGAUUUAGUCACACGUUGACAAUAAUCGUUAGUUUUAAAAGACGCUUUCCCGCGUAAGACAUAAAGAGCCGAAAGUGGUAAUAAACGGUUUAUAAAUAAAAUGAGCAUACGGUGUUAAAAGGAGCGAGUCAUGUAGAUGAGAUGAUAAUAAAUAUUAUCUCGCAAAGAUAAACGGUCAAUUCGGCCAAACGGGUCAAAAGGUGUAGACAUCACCUUUUGACAAUAUCGACUAAUGAUUCUGGUGUCGAGUUAUAUGUUUACAGGAGUAGAUAUCCAAUGGAUACUCGCAUCGCUCUUAAUUAGCAAUUAUAAAGCAAGGUACAUUUUGGAUGCCGGAAGACGAUCAAGCUCAUUGGAGAACCAAACACGAUAAAGAUACAUGCUUCCGCACAGUGUCCUGUCGUAAAUUUUAAACGACGAAUUCAAUUACGUUAUGUCGAAUAACUUAUGAUUUGUAAAAGAUUUAAUAAACCCAUAUUUUUA